AGUGAACGCUGGCGGUAGGCCUAACACAUGCAAGUCGAACGGCAGCACAGUAAGAGCUUGCUCUUACGGGUGGCGAGUGGCGGACGGGUGAGGAAUACAUCGGAAUCUACUUUUUCGUGGGGGAUAACGUAGGGAAACUUACGCUAAUACCGCAUACGACCUACGGGUGAAAGCAGGGGAUCUUCGGACCUUGCGCGAUUGAAUGAGCCGAUGUCGGAUUAGCUAGUUGGCGGGGUAAAGGCCCACCAAGGCGACGAUCCGUAGCUGGUCUGAGAGGAUGAUCAGCCACACUGGAACUGAGACACGGUCCAGACUCCUACGGGAGGCAGCAGUGGGGAAUAUUGGACAAUGGGCGAAAGCCUGAUCCAGCCAUACCGCGUGGGUGAAGAAGGCCUUCGGGUUGUAAAGCCCUUUUGUUGGGAAAGAAAAGCAGCAGGUUAAUACCCCGCUGUUCUGACGGUACCCAAAGAAGAAGCACCGGCUAACUUCGU
Molecule: ribosomal RNA, 491 nt
Filed under: uncultured bacterium
Lineage: Bacteria
Description: partial 16S ribosomal RNA
Rfam family: Bacterial small subunit ribosomal RNA
Source: RNAcentral